CGUCACAAUACAUUUGCAUGGAGUAAUAAAACGGCGCGUUCAGACAGGUUGCUGUUCUAUCCUUCUCUUUCUGGAGCAUACAAGACACCAACAGGUCAUUGCAAACAAUGCUUCUCCAAACACUAAUCACCCUGAUGCUCAUAGGCACAACUAUGGGCAUGGGCAACAGCACCAUGAGCACCGGCACCAUGACCAACGUCACCAUGAGCAACUCUGCCAUCGCGCAGUUCGUGCCUUCCAGAAUGGCUGGAGUAUUCACCCUCUCGUUGACCUGCAUGGUUCUUCACAACGAGAUGACUGCAUCCUAAGCAAGCUCUGACAAACACCACCCUUAGCCCUACUCAAGAGCAUGCUGGAAAUCUAUGUGCUUUUCUUUGGACUGCAGAUGCAUUGCACUCGACCGUUUAUGGAGAAUAUAGUGAAAGAACGGGAGAAGAUUGUGCAUGUUGUGUUUCUUCUGUGCUUUUGGUAACUGAAAGCACGUUCUAAGUCUAAUUUGCCAUCCUACACUACAUAUAUGCAUGUAUACAAAAUAAACUUUCAAGCCUGUA
Long non-coding RNA from Sardina pilchardus (European sardine), 551 nucleotides. RefSeq lists it as uncharacterized. The transcript has 2 exons. The record is from RefSeq and is a predicted model, not a curated record. Lineage: Eukaryota; Metazoa; Chordata; Actinopteri; Clupeiformes; Clupeidae.